AUGUGGGCAUCUGCUUGGCCUUCUCUAGCUGGUGGGAUCCUCAACACUCAGGCAACUGCUUGCUGGAUUAUGCACGCCACAUAGCCAAAAUGUCACAGCU
This is a long non-coding RNA of Thalassophryne amazonica, 100 nucleotides long. RefSeq lists it as uncharacterized. The record is from RefSeq and is a predicted model, not a curated record. Lineage: Eukaryota; Metazoa; Chordata; Actinopteri; Batrachoidiformes; Batrachoididae. The transcript is spliced from 3 exons.